AAGGUGGGGAUAACGUAGCGAAAGUUACGCUAAUACCGCAUAUUCUGUGAGCAGGAAAGAGGGGGAUCGCAAGACCUCUUGCUUUAGGAGCGGCCGAUGUCGGAUUAGCUAGUUGGUGAGGUGAAGGCUCACCAAGGCGACGAUCCGUAGCGGGUCUGAGAGGAUGAUCCGCCACACUGGGACUGAGACACGGCCCAGACUCCUACGGGAGGCAGCAGUGGGGAAUUUUGGACAAUGGGCGCAAGCCUGAUCCAGCCAUGCCGCGUGAGUGAAGAAGGCCUUCGGGUUGUAAAGCUCUUUCGGUGGGGAAGAAAUUGCUUCGGUUAAUACCUGGAGUAGAUGACGGUACCCGCAUAAGAAGCACCGGCUAACUACGUG
RNAcentral lists this ribosomal RNA (378 nucleotides) under uncultured bacterium. RNAcentral's name for it is "bacterial SSU rRNA". It matches the Rfam family "Bacterial small subunit ribosomal RNA", at positions 134 to 507 of the family's 1533-position model. The record is from RNAcentral.